GUGGCCUGGUCGAGGAUGCGCUGGGCCAGUUCGGGGCUGGUCGCGGUCACGGUGACGUCGGCGCCCCGGUUCCAGCGGGAGACCAGC
RNAcentral lists this transfer RNA (87 nucleotides) under Streptomyces sp. F-1. RNAcentral describes it as "tRNA-Pro". The record is from RNAcentral. Lineage: Bacteria; Bacillati; Actinomycetota; Actinomycetes; Kitasatosporales; Streptomycetaceae.